Molecule: ribosomal RNA, 160 nt
Filed under: Inocybe cf. friesii SMI337
Lineage: Eukaryota; Fungi; Basidiomycota; Agaricomycetes; Agaricales; Inocybaceae
Description: 5.8S ribosomal RNA
Rfam family: 5.8S ribosomal RNA
About the family: 5.8S ribosomal RNA (5.8S rRNA) is a component of the large subunit of the eukaryotic ribosome. It is transcribed by RNA polymerase I as part of the 45S precursor that also contains 18S and 28S rRNA.
Source: RNAcentral
CUAUACAACUUUCAGCAACGGAUCUCUUGGCUCUCGCAUCGAUGAAGAACGCAGCGAAAUGCGAUAAGUAAUGUGAAUUGCAGAAUUCAGUGAAUCAUCGAAUCUUUGAACGCACCUUGCGCUCCUUGGUAUUCCGAGGAGCAUGCCUGUUUGAGUGUCA